CCUGGGCAUGGUGGCGCACGCCUGCAAUCCCAGUGGCUCGGGAGGCUGAGGCAGGAGGAUUGAGAAUUCAAAGCCAACCUCAGCAACUCAGUGAGGCACUACGACUCAGUGAGACCCUGUCUCUA
RNAcentral lists this small RNA (125 nucleotides) under Marmota monax (woodchuck). Lineage: Eukaryota; Metazoa; Chordata; Mammalia; Rodentia; Sciuridae. The record is from RNAcentral.